CUCUAUUUAUAUAUAUAUAUACACAAUUUGACGCAGAUAUAUUUGUACCUUUUACUCUCCCUCUCGUACACAGACACACUGAAAUGUCAAUAAACCACUACUACUCUUCAGAAGCCCACUGCUGCUCUUCACAUUACGUGAUGGAUUCUUCUUUUCUUUCUUCUUCUAAUCACAAACCCUUUCUCCCUAACUCCACCCCUGCUUUUUGGCUCUCCUCCCCUAAUCACCACCACCCUAUCCCACCCCCCACCGCCUUCAACUUCAACCUCAACCUCAACAAUGAAGAUGACGAGGAUUUGGUCGACGACGACAGAGGUAAUUACGCGCCCAGGGACUUGGAAUUGGAACUGUCUGGCAUCCCCAAGGACCCCUUGUUCGAGAAACCUUUGACGCCCAGCGACGUCGGCAAGCUCAACCGCCUAGUUAUACCCAAGCAACACGCCGAGAAGUAUUUUCCGUUGAAUAAUGGCAUCGACUCUGGUGAGAACGGCUUGCUGUUGACCUUCGAAGAUGAGUUGGGAAAAUCCUGGAGAUUCCGCUACUCUUAUUGGAACAGCAGCCAGAGCUAUGUCCUCACCAAAGGAUGGAGCCGCUUCGUCAAGGAGAAACGGCUCGACGCCGGGGAUAUCGUUGUCUUCGCUCGCCACCGCGGGGACGCUGCCCGCCUCUUCAUUGGCUGGAGGCGAAGGAACUCAGGCGGUGGUGGAGGAGGACUAGACAAUACUACCGCGACUCAGGCGGUUGCUAGCGGCGGCAGUGGGUGGAGCAGGGCAUAUUAUUCGGGGCCUCCUAAUUAUCCGAACCAGAAUCAAGGACCCUCUUCUCUCCAUUACCAAUUACCAGAAUUUGCUCAUGCAGGAUCAGUAGCUGCACAGAACCAAACAACAGGAGGGAGUGGGAGUGGGAGUGGGAAUUCCAAGACGCUGAGGUUGUUUGGGGUGAACCUGGAAUGCCAGGCGGAGGAAUCAGACCCGUCGACGCCAGUGGAUUCGCCGAUGUCUAGCCAGGGACAACCCCACAACCCCACACCGUAUCAUCAUCAUCAUCCUCAAUAUUACUCCAAUCACAUGGAAGAGCCUGUUGUUAGGAUACACACACAACACACAGUGAUGGUGGAGCAAAAGCUGAGCAUUUAAUUUGUGCAGCAGUGAUUUAAUUUAUAAGCGGGAAAAAUGGUCCAUGAGAGGGAUGGGGAUAAUGAUAAAUGAUAUGAUCAGUUUCUCAGGAGAUGUAUAUCGGCAAGGAUAAGAUUUUUGGGAUGUGACGUCCACAAUCUGACCUUGUUCGGCUAUCAUCAGAUCAGUAAUUAAGUAUGGUUGUUUCUUGCAAGAAAAA
Molecule: RNA transcript, 1335 nt
Organism: Sesamum indicum (sesame)
Lineage: Eukaryota; Viridiplantae; Streptophyta; Magnoliopsida; Lamiales; Pedaliaceae
Gene name: B3 domain-containing protein At2g36080
Source: RefSeq, a predicted model, not a curated record